This 290-nucleotide unclassified non-coding RNA is filed under the name Venturiales sp. RNAcentral's name for it is "partial contains 5.8S ribosomal RNA, internal transcribed spacer 2, and large subunit ribosomal RNA". The stretch from base 1 to 71 matches the Rfam family "5.8S ribosomal RNA", at positions 84 to 154 of the family's 154-position model. Lineage: Eukaryota; Fungi; Ascomycota; Dothideomycetes; Venturiales. The record is from RNAcentral.
GUGAGUCAUCGAAUCUUUGAACGCACAUUGCGCCCCUUGGUAUUCCGGGGGGCACAUCUGUUCGAGCGCCAUUUCAACCCUCAAGCAUAGCUUGGUGUUGGGUUAUGGUCUUAGGGGACCUACCCGUAACUUGUAGGCGGUCGCCGCCCGCACCCCCAGCGUAGCAAAGCUUCAUGCGUUCGCUCGGGGUUGGUGUGACACGGCAGCCCAAAAGAAACUAUUUUUUCAAGGUUUGGCCUCGGAUCAGAUGGGGAUACCCGCUGAACUUAAGCAUAUCAAUAAGCGGAGGA